This 520-nucleotide unclassified non-coding RNA is filed under the name uncultured Glomus. Its description in RNAcentral is "SSU rRNA". It matches the Rfam family "Eukaryotic small subunit ribosomal RNA", at positions 569 to 1091 of the family's 1831-position model. The record is from RNAcentral. Lineage: Eukaryota; Fungi; Glomeromycota; Glomeromycetes; Glomerales; Glomeraceae.
AGCAGCCGCGGUAAUUCCAGCUCCAAUAGCGUAUAUUAAAGUUGUUGCAGUUAAAAAGCUCGUAGUUGAAUUUCGAGACCGGUUUACUGGUCGUGCUUUUGUACGUACUGGUAUUAUUGGUUUCUCCUUUCUGACGAACUAUAAUGCCAUUAAUUUGGUGUUAUAGGGAAUCAGGACUGUUACUUUGAAAAAAUUAGAGUGUUUAAAGCAGGCUCACGCUUGAAUACAUUAGCAUGGAAUAACGGAAUAGGACGUUUGAUUCUAUUUUGUUGGUUUCUAGGAUCGACGUAAUGAUUAAUAGGGAUAGUUGGGGGCAUUAGUAUUCAAUUGUCAGAGGUGAAAUUCUUGGAUUUAUUGAAGACUAACUACUGCGAAAGCAUUUGCCAAGGAUGUUCUCAUUAAUCAAGAACGAAAGUUAGGGGAUCGAAGACGAUCAGAUACCGUCGUAGUCUUAACCAUAAACUAUGCCGACUAGGGAUCGGAUGAUGUUAAUUUUUUAAUGACUCAUUCGGCGCCUUAC